Molecule: ribosomal RNA, 2883 nt
Filed under: Acinetobacter baumannii
Lineage: Bacteria; Pseudomonadati; Pseudomonadota; Gammaproteobacteria; Moraxellales; Moraxellaceae
Description: 23S ribosomal RNA
Rfam family: Bacterial large subunit ribosomal RNA
Source: RNAcentral
GUUGUAUAGUCAAGUAAUUAAGUGCAUGUGGUGGAUGCCUUGGCAGUCAGAGGCGAUGAAAGACGUGAUAGCCUGCGAAAAGCUCCGGGGAGGCGGCAAAUAUCCUUUGAUCCGGAGAUGUCUGAAUGGGGGAACCCACCUACUUUAAGGUAGGUAUUGCAACAUGAAUACAUAGUGUUGCAAGGCGAACGAGGGGAAGUGAAACAUCUCAGUACCCUUAGGAAAAGAAAUCAAUUGAGAUUCCCUCAGUAGCGGCGAGCGAACGGGGAUCAGCCCAUUAAGUUAUGUGUGUUUUAGUGGAACGCUCUGGGAAGUGCGAACGUAGAGGGUGAUAUUCCCGUACACGAAAGGGCACACAUAAUGAUGACGAGUAGGGCGAGGCACGUGAAACCUUGUCUGAAUAUGGGGGGACCAUCCUCCAAGGCUAAAUACUCCUGACUGACCGAUAGUGAACCAGUACCGUGAGGGAAAGGCGAAAAGAACCCCUGUGAGGGGAGUGAAAUAGAUCCUGAAACCGCAUGCAUACAAGCAGUGGGAGCACCUUCGUGGUGUGACUGCGUACCUUUUGUAUAAUGGGUCAGCGACUUAUAUUCAGUAGCAAGGUUAACCGUAUAGGGGAGCCGUAGAGAAAUCGAGUCUUAAUAGGGCGUUUAGUUGCUGGGUAUAGACCCGAAACCAGGCGAUCUAUCCAUGAGCAGGUUGAAGGUUGGGUAACACUAACUGGAGGACCGAACCCACUGUCGUUGAAAAGCCAGGGGAUGACUUGUGGAUAGGGGUGAAAGGCUAAUCAAGCCUGGUGAUAGCUGGUUCUCCCCGAAAGCUAUUUAGGUAGCGCCUCGGACGAAUACCAUAGGGGGUAGAGCACUGUUUCGGCUAGGGGGUCAUCCCGACUUACCAAACCGAUGCAAACUCCGAAUACCUAUGAGUACUAUCCGGGAGACAGACUGCGGGUGCUAACGUCCGUAGUCAAGAGGAAAACAAUCCAGACCGCCAGCUAAGGCCCCAAAAUCAUAGUUAAGUGGGAAACGAUGUGGGAAGGCAUAGACAGCUAGGAGGUUGGCUUAGAAGCAGCCACCCUUUAAAGAAAGCGUAAUAGCUCACUAGUCGAGUCGGCCUGCGCGGAAGAUGUAACGGGGCUAAAACUAUGUGCCGAAGCUGCGGANNNNNNNNNNNNNNNNNNNNNNNNNNNAUGCUGGAGGUAUCAGAAGUGCGAAUGCUGACGUGAGUAACGACAAAACGGGUGAAAAACCCGUUCGCCGAAAGACCAAGGGUUCCAGUCCAACGUUAAUCGGGGCUGGGUGAGUCGACCCCUAAGGCGAGGCCGAAAGGCGUAGUCGAUGGGAAAAUGGUUAAUAUUCCAUUACUUCUGUGUAAUGCGAUGAGAGGACGGAGAAGGCUAAAUCAGCCUGGCGUUGGUUGUCCAGGUGAAAGGAUGUAGGCAUGUAUCUUAGGCAAAUCCGGGGUACUCUAUGCUGAGAUCUGAUAGCAAGCUGUACUUGUACAGCGAAGUGGUUGAUGCCAUGCUUCCAGGAAAAGUCUCUAAGCUUCAGUUACACAGGAAUCGUACCCGAAACCGACACAGGUGGUCAGGUCGAGUAGACCAAGGCGCUUGAGAGAACUCUGCUGAAGGAACUAGGCAAAAUGGUACCGUAACUUCGGGAGAAGGUACGCUGUUGUUGGUGAUGGAACUCGCUUCCUGAGCUGACGACAGCCGCAGAAACCAGGCCGCUGCAACUGUUUAUUAAAAACAUAGCACUCUGCAAACACGAAAGUGGACGUAUAGGGUGUGAUGCCUGCCCGGUGCUGGAAGGUUAAUUGAUGGGGUUAGCGUAAGCGAAGCUCUUGAUCGAAGCCCCAGUAAACGGCGGCCGUAACUAUAACGGUCCUAAGGUAGCGAAAUUCCUUGUCGGGUAAGUUCCGACCUGCACGAAUGGCAUAAUGAUGGCGGCGCUGUCUCCAGCAGAGGCUCAGUGAAAUCGAAAUCGCUGUGAAGAUGCAGUGUACCCGCGGCUAGACGGAAAGACCCCGUGAACCUUUACUGCAGCUUGACACUGAACUUUGACCUUACUUGUGUAGGAUAGGUGGGAGGCUUUGAAGCUGGAACGCUAGUUCCAGUGGAGCCGUCCUUGAAAUACCACCCUGGUAAUGUUGAGGUUCUAACUCUGUCCCGUGAUCCGGGACGAGGACCGUGUCUGGUGGGUAGUUUGACUGGGGCGGUCUCCUCCUAAAGAGUAACGGAGGAGUACGAAGGUGCGCUCAGCGUGGUCGGAAAUCACGCGUAGAGUAUAAAGGCAAAAGCGCGCUUAACUGCGAGACCCACAAGUCGAGCAGGUACGAAAGUAGGUCUUAGUGAUCCGGUGGUUCUGUAUGGAAGGGCCAUCGCUCAACGGAUAAAAGGUACUCUGGGGAUAACAGGCUGAUACCGCCCAAGAGUUCAUAUCGACGGCGGUGUUUGGCACCUCGAUGUCGGCUCAUCUCAUCCUGGGGCUGAAGCAGGUCCCAAGGGUAUGGCUGUUCGCCAUUUAAAGAGGUACGCGAGCUGGGUUUAGAACGUCGUGAGACAGUUCGGUCCCUAUCUACCGUGGGCGCUGGAAAUUUGAGAGGAUCUGCUCCUAGUACGAGAGGACCAGAGUGGACGAACCUCUGGUGUACCGGUUGUGACGCCAGUCGCAUCGCCGGGUAGCUAUGUUCGGAAGGGAUAACCGCUGAAAGCAUCUAAGCGGGAAGCCUACCUCAAGAUAAGAUUUCCCUAGGACUUUAUGUCCUCUAAAGAGCCGUUCGAGACUAGGACGUUGAUAGGUUGGAUGUGGAAGCAUAGUGAUAUGUGAAGCUGACCAAUACUAAUUGCUCGUGAGGCUUGACUAUACAACACCCAAGCAGUUG